UAUUAACGCUGGCGGCGUGCCUAAUACAUGCAAGUCGAGCGAACAGACGAGGAGCUUGCUCCUCUGACGUUAGCGGCGGACGGGUGAGUAACACGUGGAUAACCUACCUAUAAGACUGGGAUAACUUCGGGAAACCGGAGCUAAUACCGGAUAAUAUAUUGAACCGCAUGGUUCAAUAGUGAAAGACGGUUUUGCUGUCACUUAUAGAUGGAUCCGCGCCGCAUUAGCUAGUUGGUAAGGUAACGGCUUACCAAGGCAACGAUGCGUAGCCGACCUGAGAGGGUGAUCGGCCACACUGGAACUGAGGCACGGUCCAGACUCCUACGGGAGGCAGCAGUAGGGAAUCUUCCGCAAUGGGCGAAAGCCUGACGGAGCAACGCCGCGUGAGUGAUGAAGGUCUUCGGAUCGUAAAACUCUGUUAUUAGGGAAGAACAAAUGUGUAAGUAACUAUGCACGUCUUGACGGUACCUAAUCAGAAAGCCACGGCUAACUACGUG
This 497-nucleotide ribosomal RNA is filed under the name uncultured bacterium. RNAcentral's name for it is "partial 16S ribosomal RNA". It matches the Rfam family "Bacterial small subunit ribosomal RNA", at positions 29 to 507 of the family's 1533-position model. The record is from RNAcentral.